GGAUUGUGGCUCAGUGGUAGAGUGCUUGCCUAGCAUGCAUGAGGCACUGGGUUUGAUCCUCAGCACCA
Molecule: transfer RNA, 68 nt
Filed under: Marmota monax (woodchuck)
Lineage: Eukaryota; Metazoa; Chordata; Mammalia; Rodentia; Sciuridae
Description: tRNA.Ala
Rfam family: tRNA (bases 5-65)
About the family: Transfer RNA (tRNA) molecules are approximately 80 nucleotides in length.
Source: RNAcentral